Molecule: ribosomal RNA, 301 nt
Filed under: uncultured bacterium
Lineage: Bacteria
Description: partial 16S ribosomal RNA
Rfam family: Bacterial small subunit ribosomal RNA
Source: RNAcentral
CAGUCGCCGCGGUAAUACGUAGGGUGCAAGCGUUGUCCGGAAUUAUUGGGCGUAAAGGGCUCGCAGGCGGUUUCUUAAGUCUGAUGUGAAAGCCCCCGGCUCAACCGGGGAGGGUCAUUGGAAACUGGGAAACUUGAGUGCAGAAGAGGAGAGUGGAAUUCCACGUGUAGCGGUGAAAUGCGUAGAGAUGUGGAGGAACACCAGUGGCGAAGGCGACUCUCUGGUCUGUAACUGACGCUGAGGAGCGAAAGCGUGGGGAGCGAACAGGAUUAGAUACCCGCGUAGUCCCUGUCUCUUAUAC